Molecule: ribosomal RNA, 469 nt
Filed under: uncultured bacterium
Lineage: Bacteria
Description: partial 16S ribosomal RNA
Rfam family: Bacterial small subunit ribosomal RNA
Source: RNAcentral
GGACGAACGCUGGCGGCGUGCUUAACACAUGCAAGCCGAACGGAAAGGCCCUGCUUUUGUGGGGUGCUCGAGUGGCGAACGGGUGAGUAACACGUGAGUAACCUGCCCUUGACUUUGGGAUAACUUCAGGAAACUGGGGCUAAUACCGGAUAGGAGCUCCUGCUGCAUGGUGGGGGUUGGAAAGUUUCGGCGGUUGGGGAUGGACUCGCGGCUUAUCAGCUUGUUGGUGGGGUAGUGGCUUACCAAGGCUUUGACGGGUAGCCGGCCUGAGAGGGUGACCGGCCACAUUGGGACUGAGAUACGGCCCAGACUCCUACGGGAGGCAGCAGUGGGGAAUAUUGCACAAUGGGCGGAAGCCUGAUGCAGCAACGCCGCGUGCGGGAUGACGGCCUUCGGGUUGUAAACCGCUUUCGCCUGUGACGAAGCGUGAGUGACGGUAAUGGGUAAAGAAGCACCGGCUAACUACGUG